Molecule: long non-coding RNA, 330 nt
Filed under: Gallus gallus (chicken)
Lineage: Eukaryota; Metazoa; Chordata; Aves; Galliformes; Phasianidae
Description: lncRNA (ENSGALG00010003124.1)
Source: RNAcentral
AGAUCCCUUACUUUGUGGAGUUCUCUCCCGUGAGCCUAGAUCUUCAGAGAUGGAAGUGGAUACUCCUCCGUAGGAGCUGCUAUUUGUUUUAUUGGGAUAAGCACCUGGCAAAGAAGGACCAUUCGAAAGGAACUUCUGAGGAAACAAAUCAGAACAGACAUCACUGAGGAUCAACACUUCUACAUUACUAACACCAUUGCCUCCUAAUCUGAUGUUGAAGUUUGGAAAAUGCUGAAUAAAGAAGUCUGGGGAUGUUCUCAGUCUCCAAAGCAUGGCAUACCCAAGCGUAAUGCAAAGCCUUCUCUACCUGCCUUUCCCCUUAGGCUUAAU